This 229-nucleotide unclassified non-coding RNA is filed under the name plant metagenome. Its description in RNAcentral is "partial contains small subunit ribosomal RNA, internal transcribed spacer 1, and 5.8S ribosomal RNA". The record is from RNAcentral.
UCUCCGUAGGUGAACCUGCGGAGGGAUCAUCACAGAGUUCAUGCUCUACCGGGUAGAUCUCCCACCCUAUGUUAUUAUUACUUUGUUGCUUUGGCGGGCCGUUAGGCUCCGGCCCGACUACCGGCCCCGGCUGGUAAGCGCCCGCCAGAGGACCCAAAACCCUGAAUAUUAGUGUCGUCUGAGUACCAUAUAAUAGUUAAAACUUUCAACAACGGAUCUCUUGGUUCUG